CCCGUAGGUGGCUUUGUAAGUCGGAGGUGAAAGACCACGGCUCAACCGUGGAAACGCCUUCGAAACUGUGAAGCUUGAGGCUGGGAGAGGAAAUCGGAAUUCCUGGUGUAGCGGUGAAAUGCGUAGAGAUCAUGAGGAAGACCAGUGGCGAAGGCGGGUCUCUGGACAGUUCCUGACACUGAGACACGAAGGCCAGGGGAGCAAACG
Molecule: ribosomal RNA, 207 nt
Filed under: uncultured bacterium
Lineage: Bacteria
Description: partial 16S ribosomal RNA
Rfam family: Bacterial small subunit ribosomal RNA
Source: RNAcentral